This is a non-coding RNA of Nothobranchius furzeri (turquoise killifish), 1806 nucleotides long. The record is from RefSeq and is a predicted model, not a curated record. NCBI's taxonomy places the organism in Eukaryota, Metazoa, Chordata, Actinopteri, Cyprinodontiformes, Nothobranchiidae.
UUUACACAUGAUGGAGAGAUUUUCGUGAUCUACACGGCCUGAAAACGGAUGAAGAGUUGGCAAAGUAUCUUUUAGACAGUCAUCAGUCCAAAUAUGAAGCAUCAACAUCUACACCACUGAAGCGCCAACUGUGUAUUUCUCCAACACCAGUGCCAGCUCUGUCUAGCAUUCAUGGAGAAUCAUCUGAAAGGGAUGAUAAUUUGGAGGAGGUGAUGGAACAAGGUGAAACUAAAAAAGAAGGAUCUUCACAAAUGUUAUCUUGUGUGGGAAUUGAAGCAAACAUUGACGAGGAAGAGUUCAACAAUAUUCAAAUCUCUGUAAGUAUUCAGAUGUUAAUAAAAUGUGUCUAAUUUUCCAUACUAAAAACUUUAUAUUGUGUAUAUUCAGGAUAGAGUCAUCAGAUGACACAUGGUCACCAAACAGAGAACCAGAAGUUGAUUCGUCUUCAGAGGAGGACGAAACCAUCGAGAUGGACAGCGGUACUGAUGACAGCGGUGAUGAGGACUACACACCUUAUUUACACAUAAGGUAAUUCCUUUCGUUUAACAUUCUAUAAAACUGCAAUAGCGCAUAGUUAAUAAAAAGCUUUUGUUCACAGGACUGGAGCAGCAUUACAAAAAACAUUACAACUUGAGACUCUGCAAGAAAUUAACAUAGAGGAUACAGUUCAUGACUGUAAUAUCCCAGAAGCAACUGACCGACGUUUGACAAGCAAGAAAGGUCUUCCUCGACGCUACAAGCUAAGGCCUGAGGAUCCAAGGCGUUAUGGUUUGCUGUCCGGAGUUCCUGCACCAUCAACAGAGGAACGUCUACAACACCUACGGACUUGCGGUGAUGGUAAAACUUUGCCACAGACAUAGGUGUUGGGGGAGGCAAGAGAAAACCCAAAACCUUCUUUAUUUUUGUUUCCUGUGUUUUUUUUUUUUUGAAAAUAAAGAUAUUUUUUGGGGAAAUAAGGACUAAUAAUUUAAAAAUGUAUGUAAAAUGUUGGAGGUAGACAUAAUUUUUUGUUGUUGUGCAGGAGUUUUAAAAUUUAUGGUAUUUUUACAAAUGCAACACAGAGUUGUGCUUUAAAACACUUUAUUAGAGCAUCAAACAAAAAUAUAUAAAAACAAACUUAUGUAAAAUAUCAAAUAUAUACAUUUAUUUACAAUCGUCUUGGAAUAAAACCAGUGUAGUUACCAUUGGGGUCAGGGAAUUUUGCAGAAUAAACUCCUCCAUGUGUGGUACAGUUGAAAUACAUGUCUGGGGAGGCUGUUGGCAGCAUUUCUUUUCCAAAUCAGUUGGCAUAUCUCUGCAGUGGGAGCAUACACACCAUGAAGGUUGAUUGGGUGUUUGAGGUGUUGUGGCAGGUGGACCAGAGAGGGCAAGUACAUCAAAGAGAACACCAGUGUCUGUCCAGCACCAUGGUAAGGAUGUCAAUAGCCUAAUGAGGGUUCAGGUUCUGUAUGUGUUGCUACAAAAGUGGAAAGAGAUGCUACAGCAACAGUUAUGCUUACACGUUCAAAGUCUAUUCGCUCGGAACAAAGAUUCCGAACUCGAGAGAGAUCUUCAUCUCCAAGGUCCACAGCUGAGUGUCUCACACUUCUUCGGCCUCUGGAUGCACCGCGGCCUCUAGACACACCACGGCCUCUGGAUGCACCGCGGCCUCUAGACACACCACGGCCUCUGGAUGCACCACGGCCUCUGGAUGCACCACGGCUUUGAGAUGAUGGUGGGCAUCUCCUUUUUGCACCACGUCUUGAGGAUGCAAUAGGAGGUUCAAACUCUUCCUCAGAGGAUUCCUCAAUCACUGAACUCUAAAUU